Molecule: non-coding RNA, 21 nt
Filed under: Caenorhabditis elegans
Lineage: Eukaryota; Metazoa; Nematoda; Chromadorea; Rhabditida; Rhabditidae
Source: RNAcentral
UAACGAUGUUGUGUUAAAGAA